RNAcentral lists this ribosomal RNA (508 nucleotides) under Culicoides imicola. Its description in RNAcentral is "partial 16S ribosomal RNA". The stretch from base 388 to 508 matches the Rfam family "Bacterial large subunit ribosomal RNA", at positions 2473 to 2594 of the family's 2925-position model. Lineage: Eukaryota; Metazoa; Arthropoda; Insecta; Diptera; Ceratopogonidae. The record is from RNAcentral.
GUCUUUUUGAUUAAAUAAAAAGUCUAGCCUGCCCGGUGAAUUUUUAACGGCCGCAGUAUACUGACUGUGCAAAGGUAGCAUAAUCUAUUGUCUUUUAAUUAAAGGCUUGUAUGAAUGGUUGAAUGAGAUAUUAACUAUUUUUAUUUUAAUAAAAAUGAAUUUUAAUUUUUAGUAAAAAUGCUAAAAUAAAAAAAUUAGACGAGAAGACCCUAUAAAUCUUAAUUUUAUUUUUUAUAAUAUUAAUUUUGAAAAUUUUUAAUAAAUUAUAAAAAUAAAAUUUUAUUGGGAGGAUAAUGAAAUUUAAUAAACUUUUAUUUUUUUUUAUAAAUAUAAUUAAAUUAUUGAAUAUAUAAUUAUAAAAUAUUUAAAAAAUUAAGUUACUUUAGGGAUAACAGCGUAAUUAUUUUAAAGAGUUCUUAUCGAUAAAAUAGUUUGCGACCUCGAUGUUGAAUUAAGAAUUAAUUUAGGUGUACAAGUUUAAAUUUUAAGUCUGUUCGACUUUUGAAUU